AACGAACGCUGGCGGCAUGCCUAACACAUGCAAGUCGAACGAGACCUUCGGGUCUAGUUGCGCACGGGUGCGUAACGCGUGGGAACCUGCCCUUAGGUUCGGAAUAACUCCCCGAAAGGGGUGCUAAUACCGGAUAAUGUCUUCGGACCAAAGAUUUAUCGCCUUUGGAUGGGCCCGCGUUGGAUUAGCUAGUUGGUAGGGUAAAAGCCUACCAAGGCGACGAUCCAUAGCUGGUCUGAGAGGAUGAUCAGCCACACUGGGACUGAGACACGGCCCAGACUCCUACGGGAGGGAGCAGUGGGGAAUAUUGGACAAGGGGCGAAAGCCUGAUCCAGCAAUGCGGCGGGAGUGAUGAAGGGCGUAGGGUUGUAAAGCUCUUUUACCCGGGAUGAUAAUGACAGUACCGGGAGAAUAAGCACCGGCUAACUCCGUG
Molecule: ribosomal RNA, 433 nt
Filed under: uncultured bacterium
Lineage: Bacteria
Description: partial 16S ribosomal RNA
Rfam family: Bacterial small subunit ribosomal RNA
Source: RNAcentral